CCUACGGGAGGCAGCAGUAGGGAAUAUUGGUAAUGGGCGAAAGCCUGAACCAGCAACGCCGCGUGUGCGAUGAAGGCCUUCGGGUUGCAAAGCACUUUUUAAGAGGAUGAGGAAGGACAGUACUCUUAGAAUAAGCCUCGGCUAACUACGUGCCAGCAGCCGCGGUAACACGUAGGAGGCAAGCGUUAUUCGGAUUUACUGGGCGUAAAGCGCGUGCAGGCGGUUUGGUAAGUUGGAUGUGAAAGCUCCUGGCCUAACUGGGAGAGGUCGUUCAAUACUACCAGACUAGAGGAUGGGAGAGGGAGGUGGAAUUCCGGGUGUAGUGGUGAAAUGCGUAGAUAUCCGGAGGAACACCAGUGGCGAAAGCGGCCUCCUGGCCCAUUUCUGACGCUCAGACGCGAAAGCUAGGGUAGCAAACGGGAUUAGAGACCCCGGUAGUCCUAGCUGUAAACGAUGUGGACUUGGCGUCGGCGGGUUUAAAUCCGUCGGUGCCGAAGCUAACGCGAUAAGUUCACCGCCUGGGGACUACGGCCGCAAGGUUAAAACUCAAAGGAAUUGACGGGACCCCGCACAAGCAGCGGAGCGUGUGGUUUAAUUCGAUGCUACACGAAGAACCUUACCAGGGUUUGACAUACAAGUGGCAGGGAUCCGAAAGGUGACCGACCCUUCGGGGAGCUAUGAGAAGGGCGAAUUCCACCCUUUGGGCGGCGU
Molecule: ribosomal RNA, 711 nt
Filed under: uncultured bacterium
Lineage: Bacteria
Description: bacterial SSU rRNA
Rfam family: Bacterial small subunit ribosomal RNA
Source: RNAcentral